GAUGAAGAACGCAGCGAAAUGCGAUAAGUAAUGUGAAUUGCAGAAUUCAGUGAAUCAUCGAAUCUUUGAACGCAUCUUGCGCUCCUUGGUAUUCUGAGGAGCAUGCCUGUUUGAGUGUCAUUAAAUUCUCAACUACACUGACUUUGAAUUGGUGUGGCUUGGAUUUGGGGGGAAAAUUGUUGUGGGCUUUUUGUAUAGUCUGCUCCCCUGAAAUUGAUUAGCGGUACCUUUGUGGAACUGUCUACAGGUGUGAUAAUUAUCUACAUCUUAGACAUCUGCUGGAAUGCUGCUUUCUAAACCUUACUUGUAUUGAUAAUCUUGACCUCAAAUCAGGUAGGACUACCCGCUGAACUUAAGCAUAUCAAUAAGCGGAGGA
Molecule: unclassified non-coding RNA, 376 nt
Filed under: soil metagenome
Description: partial contains 5.8S ribosomal RNA, internal transcribed spacer 2, and large subunit ribosomal RNA
Rfam family: 5.8S ribosomal RNA (bases 1-120)
Source: RNAcentral